UAGAUUGCACUCAGUUCAGAAAAAUACUCACUGCGUUUACCACCCUCACCCCACUCUUUUUUUAGAUGGUUCAGACAUUUUCCCGUUGCAUCUUGUGUUCCAAGGAUGAAGUGGACUUGGAUGAGUUAUUAGCUGCUAGAUUGGUAACAUUUCUGAUGGACAAUUACCAGGAAAUUCUGAAAGUCCCUUUGGCCUUGCAGACCUCUAUAGAGGAGCGUGUGGCUCAUCUACGAAGAGUCCAGAUAAAAUACCCAGGAGCUGAUAUGGAUAUCACUUUAUCUGCUCCAUCAUUUUGCCGUCAAAUUAGUCCAGAGGAAUUUGAAUAUCAAAGAUCAUACGGCUCUCAGGAACCUCUGGCAGCCUUGUUGGAGGAAGUCAUAACAGAUGCCAAACUCUCCAGCAAAGAGAAGAAGAAGAAACUCAAGCAGUUUCAGAAAUCCUAUCCUGAAGUCUAUCAAGAACGAUUUCCUACACCAGAAAGUGAAGCACUUCUGUUUCCUGAAAAACCCAAACCAAAACCACAGCUGCUAAUGUGGGCACUAAAGAAGCCUUUCCAACCAUUUCAAAGAACUAGAAGUUUUCGAAUGUAAUAAUACUUCCACAGCAACAGGCGCCAGAGACCACUGUUGUUGUUUUGAGUGAAUGGUGGUUAGGAGAAAGACUUUGGUGGUGGAAUAAAGAAAAGCAUAAAACAAAGACUACUGAAAUAUAAAGAUUGCCUUAGUUUUAAAAUGUUUAGCCAUUAGUAUUUUAUAAAACUCAAUGCUAUUUUUAAAGUGUAUAAAUUGGUUAAAAUUUGUGAGUCAAAUAUAUAGUGAUAAUGUUAACAUGUUUGUAAUUGUUACAAAAUUUAAGGGUAUUUUUAUCUCUGCUUUCUUUUCAUGGUGUUUAUUAAAUAAUUGUGUAUAUACACCUUAGCUACUAAUAUCUUUAUUAUAGCCUUAAGACUUAAUUUUAAGUCUUAAAAAUAGUGUGUAUACUUGAAUAAGAAAGACACUGGGUACUGUUAAUGUGAUGCUAUUGAGUUAGUAGCCAAUUAUGAUUUCUCCUGUAUAAAUUCCAGUUUUUAUUGCUGCACAUAAAUUUUGUAACGUCUUAUAUUGUGAUGGCUAUGUCUUUUAUUGCAGAUUUAUUGGAUAUUAUGACAGAUUUUACUAAAGCUAGUGUUUUUAUAACAUAUAUAUCAGUUGAUGUUUACCUAUAAGUGGAGUAGAUUUUCAUCUGCCUGCAAUGGUAUAAUUUCAGUCCUAGCUAAAAAUGGAAAGUUGAACUGGAUAAAUUCUUUGAGUACCCUUAGACUUGUGAUUCUAAGUCAAACACAAAUGGGUUAAAUAAAAUGAGACUACUUCCGUUAUAUAUUUUCGUCCUUUUGAAAGUAAGUGAAAUGUAAAU
Molecule: long non-coding RNA, 1392 nt
Filed under: Rhinopithecus bieti (black snub-nosed monkey)
Lineage: Eukaryota; Metazoa; Chordata; Mammalia; Primates; Cercopithecidae
Description: lncRNA (ENSRBIG00000045511.1)
Source: RNAcentral